RNAcentral lists this ribosomal RNA (253 nucleotides) under uncultured bacterium. RNAcentral's name for it is "partial 16S ribosomal RNA". It matches the Rfam family "Bacterial small subunit ribosomal RNA", at positions 524 to 776 of the family's 1533-position model. The record is from RNAcentral.
UACGUAGGUGGCAAGCGUUGUCCGGAUUUACUGGGCGUAAAGAGCGCGCAGGCGGUCAGAUAAGUCGAAUGUGAAAGCCCCCGGCUCAACUGGGGAGGGUCAUUCGAUACUGUUCGACUCGAAGGCAGGAGAGGGAAGUGGAAUUCCCGGUGUAGUGGUGAAAUGCGUAGAUAUCGGGAGGAACACCAGUGGCGAAGGCGGCUUCCUGGACUAAUACUGACGCUGAGGUGCGAAAGCGUGGGGAGCAAACAGG